RNAcentral lists this ribosomal RNA (496 nucleotides) under uncultured bacterium. Its description in RNAcentral is "partial 16S ribosomal RNA". It matches the Rfam family "Bacterial small subunit ribosomal RNA", at positions 28 to 506 of the family's 1533-position model. The record is from RNAcentral.
GAUGAACGCUGGCGGCGUGCCUAAUACAUGCAAGUCGAGCGAACAGAUGAGGAGCUUGCUCCUCUGACGUUAGCGGCGGACGGGUGAGUAACACGUGGAUAACCUACCUAUAAGACUGGGAUAACUUCGGGAAACCGGAGCUAAUACCGGAUAAUAUAUUGAACCGCAUGGUUCAAUAGUGAAAGACGGUUUUGCUGUCACUUAUAGAUGGAUCCGCGCCGCAUUAGCUAGUUGGUAAGGUAACGGCUUACCAAGGCAACGAUGCGUAGCCGACCUGAGAGGGUGAUCGGCCACACUGGAACUGAGACACGGUCCAGACUCCUACGGGAGGCAGCAGUAGGGAAUCUUCCGCAGUGGGCGAAAGCUUGACGGAGCAACGCCGCGUGAGUGAUGAAGGUCUUCGGAUCGUAAAACUCUGUUAUUAGGGAAGAACAAAUGUGUAAGUAACUAUGCACGUCUGGACGGUACCUAAUCAGAAAGCCACGGCUAACUACGU